ACAAUGUUACAAAUGCUGGACUUUAAUGUACUUUCGCGAUCUUUUAUUAGAAGAGGAAAACUCGCGAUUUGCAAAUUUGAUGCCGUAAUAAAUUCGCAUUCUUAAAAAAAGUUUGACCAAAUAUUGCAGUGGAAACUGUGAACAUGUACGGAAUGGCACUGGUAUCAUGUUAAGACUCUUCAAGAUGCUCUUUCCAACAUUCAGAUUUUUGGUUGUGACUGAGAAACAAUCCACGAAGGUGUCUUCAAGUUGCAUAAUGUAAUUUAAAUAGCACGAUGAAGGAGCAGUCAGCCCACCAAAGUUGAGUUCUUUAUAUGCCUUGAAAUAGCAAAGCAAAUUACCAUCAUUGUUUAUGUUAUUUGAAGUCAAAACGUUCUUACAUUGGAGACAGCUGUGGAUUUUGAAAGCUUUGCUUAGCAAAUAUCCUGAAGCAUAGACAGCAGCAUUUUUGAGCAAUAAAUUGUUGCUAAUAUUUUGUUCUCGGAAGUCAUUUUCACCAAUCAACAGUGAGUUACUUGGAGCUUUUGCAUGGAACAGUUUCCUUUGGAAGAGGUCAAAAGUGAACUGAAAAAAACCUUUCGAAAAGCUCUGAUAAAUUGUAUUGGUAUGGGAUUGUCAUAAUUACCUCCUUGCUGGCGUAUUGUUCCAAAAAAAUUCUCUAGAGCAUCUGUGUUUAAUCUUCUGUGUGGAACUAUUGACGCAAUCGAAAAGCGAAUCAAAUUUGAAAAGCAACUCAGCUGUACCCAAGGCUGAUGGUGGUAGUGCUCCAAUUGAUGAAUAUGUGCAAAUCGAUGCAGCAAUGGUGUGGCUGAAUAUUUGUGUAGCAUAUUUAACUUGAAAAUUAAUCUGAAAAUUAAUGCAGCGACAGCAAUGUAACGAAAAUAACAAUAUAUAUAUAUUAAUAGAAGCAAGAGGACAAUUUUAUUUCCUUACAACGUAAUCAACACAUUAAAUUAUCUAAAACAUGACAAAUAUAAGGAACAUAUAGUUAAGAGCAUCUGGAAGUUAGCUACAACCAUACAAUAUAAGAAUUUUCCCAACACAAUAUGGCAUUGGCAUUAAAUACAAUUGCACAAGUUUGCAAUUUCUCAAUGAACAUUUAUCGAGUGUUCGGGAUAUGACUAAAUUUGUCUGAAUUCUAAAGCACCAAAUCCAAUGUCAUACGAAAUAUCUUUUUUAGUGUAGCCCGUCCGUUGAUAAAUUUCGCAUUGUUCCUUCUUGUUUCUGAUUUAAAGACGUUCGUUAAGCGCUUCUCCGCUUCCGUUCUUUACAAAUAAAUAAAUACGAAUAACCUUGA
Long non-coding RNA from Xenia sp. Carnegie-2017, 1297 nucleotides. RefSeq lists it as uncharacterized. NCBI's taxonomy places the organism in Eukaryota, Metazoa, Cnidaria, Anthozoa, Malacalcyonacea, Xeniidae. The transcript is spliced from 3 exons. The record is from RefSeq and is a predicted model, not a curated record.